RNAcentral lists this ribosomal RNA (20 nucleotides) under Lasiodiplodia theobromae. RNAcentral's name for it is "partial 18S ribosomal RNA". Lineage: Eukaryota; Fungi; Ascomycota; Dothideomycetes; Botryosphaeriales; Botryosphaeriaceae. The record is from RNAcentral. RNAcentral also lists the same sequence under 20 other names.
GGAAGGAUCAUUACCGAGUU